This 173-nucleotide transfer-messenger RNA is filed under the name Enterococcus faecium. Its description in RNAcentral is "partial transfer-messenger RNA". It matches the Rfam family "transfer-messenger RNA", at positions 1 to 177 of the family's 374-position model. From Rfam's summary of the family: Bacterial tmRNA, also known as 10Sa RNA or SsrA, is named for its dual tRNA and mRNA-like properties. Its role is to liberate the mRNA from a stalled ribosome. The record is from RNAcentral. Lineage: Bacteria; Bacillati; Bacillota; Bacilli; Lactobacillales; Enterococcaceae.
GGGGACGUUACGGAUUCGACAGGCACAGUCGAGCUUGAAUUGCGUUUCGUAGGUUACGUCUACGUAAAAACGUUACAGUUAAAUAUAACUGCUAAAAACGAAAACAACUCUUACGCUUUAGCUGCCUAAAAACAGUUAGCGUAGAUCCUCUCGGCAUCGCCCAUGUGCUCGAG